GCUUGCUUUGUAAGCAGAUGAUAUUUUCCAUGAAAUUCCAUUAUUUAGUAUUACACAAGAUUCAUUUGUUUCUUGCUUCAAUUUUCAAUUUUCAAUGAACGUUGUGAAAUAUGUUAAUUCAACCUAUUCGCAAUGAUUUUUAUUAAUAAAUUUGCCAAGUCGUACAAUCGCAUUGAGAUCCACAGUGACAGUGGAUAAUGUGAAAUGUCGAUACUCUUUCGAAUUUAAUUAAAUCCAAAGUGUCUAGACAAUUUUUCUACUCAAUGGAUACGAGAAGUCCGUCAUUUGCCCACGCUAUACCCAACUACCUGUCCUCAGCAACCACAAUAAAUUACAACGACGUCUUCGCGCCGGUCCCUAACUGUAUUUGAUGAGCUCGAAAGUAUAUCUUUCUAUGAAAUAAGCCAUUUCCGAAUUCAACAACUUAUUCAAACGAAGCGACGUCGUUUUCGGAAAAAGGAAAUUUACUUACACAUUUAUACAAUUCUCAUAGAUCAACUUUGGCUUUACUUUUAUGUCUUCGCGGGAACACAAGGUUAAGUCUUUACCUACAAUGGACUGCGGAAUCGAGGAGCGACAACUUCCGGGAUUGUCAAAAUAA
Cephus cinctus (wheat stem sawfly) is the source of this 601-nucleotide long non-coding RNA. RefSeq lists it as uncharacterized. The record is from RefSeq and is a predicted model, not a curated record. The transcript is spliced from 3 exons. Lineage: Eukaryota; Metazoa; Arthropoda; Insecta; Hymenoptera; Cephidae.